RNAcentral lists this ribosomal RNA (447 nucleotides) under uncultured bacterium. RNAcentral describes it as "bacterial SSU rRNA". It matches the Rfam family "Bacterial small subunit ribosomal RNA", at positions 329 to 792 of the family's 1533-position model. The record is from RNAcentral.
CGCCAGACUCCUACGGGAGGCAGCAGUGGGGGAUAUUGCACAAUGGGGGGAACCCUGAUGCAGCGACGCCGCGUGGGUGAAGAAGCGCCUCGGCGCGUAAAGCCCUGUCAGCAGGGAAGAAAAUGACGGUACCUGAAGAAGAAGCCCCGGCUAACUACGUGCCAGCAGCCGCGGUAAUACGUAGGGGGCAAGCGUUAUCCGGAUUUACUGGGUGUAAAGGGAGCGUAGGUGGCAUGGUAAGCCAGAAGUGAAAACCCGGGGCUCAACCCCGCGGAUUGCUUUUGGAACUAUCAGGCUGGAGUGCUGGAGGGGUAAGCGGAAUUCCUAGUGUAGCGGUGAAAUGCGUAGAUAUUAGGAGGAACACCGGUGGCGAAGGCGGCUUACUGGACAGAAACUGACACUGAGGCUCGAAAGCGUGGGGAGCAAACAGGAUUAGAUACCCGGGUA